GCCUUGCCAGCCCGCUCAGAAACUCAAAGGAAUUUGACGGGGGCCCGCACAAGCGGUGGAGCAUGUGGUUUAAUUCGAUGAUACGCGAGGAACCUUACCUGGGCUCAAAUGUAUGUUGACGUAUUCUGAAAGGGAUACUUCUUCGGACAAUAUACAAGGUGCCGCAUGGUUGUCGUCAGCUCGUGCCGUGAGGUGUCGGGUUAAGUCCCAUAACGAGCGCAACCCCUAUUGUUAGUUGCCAUCAGGUCAUGCUGGGGACUCUAACAAAACUGCCCGCGUAAGCGUGGAGGAAGGUGGGGAUGACGUCAAAUCAGCACGGCCCUUACGUCCAGGGCUACACACGUGCUACAAUGGCCGGUACAGAGGGCAGCCACUUGGUGACAAGGAGCAAAUCUCAAAAGCCGGUCUCAGUUCGGAUCGGAGUCUGCAACUCGACUCCGUGAAGUUGGAUUCGCUAGUAAUCGUAGAUCAGCAAUGCUACGGUGAAUACGUUCCCGGGCCUU
RNAcentral lists this ribosomal RNA (503 nucleotides) under uncultured Bacteroidota bacterium. Its description in RNAcentral is "bacterial SSU rRNA". It matches the Rfam family "Bacterial small subunit ribosomal RNA", at positions 903 to 1382 of the family's 1533-position model. The record is from RNAcentral. Lineage: Bacteria; Pseudomonadati; Bacteroidota.